RNAcentral lists this ribosomal RNA (468 nucleotides) under uncultured bacterium. RNAcentral's name for it is "partial 16S ribosomal RNA". It matches the Rfam family "Bacterial small subunit ribosomal RNA", at positions 28 to 507 of the family's 1533-position model. The record is from RNAcentral.
GACGAACGCUGGCGGCGUGCUUAACACAUGCCAGUCGAACGGAAAGGCCCUGCUUUUGUGGGGUGCUCGAGUGGCGAACGGGUGAGUAACACGUGAGUAACCUGCCCUUGACUUUGGGAUAACUUCAGGAAACUGGGGCUAAUACCGGAUAGGAGCUCCUGCUGCAUGGUGGGGGUUGGAAAGUUUCGGCGGUUGGGGAUGGACUCGCGGCUUAUCAGCUUGUUGGUGGGGUAGUGGCUUACCAAGGCUUUGACGGGUAGCCGGCCUGAGAGGGUGACCGGCGACAUUGGGACUGAGAUACGGCCCAGACUCCUACGGGAGGCAGAAGUGGGGACUAUUGCACAAUGGGCGGAAGCCUGAUGCAGCAACGCCGCGUGCGGGAUGACGGCCUUCGGGUUGUAAACCGCUUUCGCCUGUGACGAAGCGUGAGUGACGGUAAUGGGUAAAGAAGCACCGGCUAACUACGUG